AGGAGAUACUGUGAUCAUUAAGGCCAUACUCUCAAGGCAAUGCCUAUCCAUUGCACUCUGGGCAGGUUGACCCAUGCAAUUUCCCCAAAACUGCAAUAGGA
RNAcentral lists this small nuclear RNA (101 nucleotides) under Eptatretus burgeri (inshore hagfish). RNAcentral's name for it is "U1 spliceosomal RNA (ENSEBUG00000000055.1)". The record is from RNAcentral. Lineage: Eukaryota; Metazoa; Chordata; Myxini; Myxiniformes; Myxinidae.